CCCAAAGACACAGAAACCCCAUGACCGCUGACUUAGUGUUAAUGCAAAGUGCAAGUCUAUCCCUCUCUUGACCCUAACAGGCUGCAGCACAUCCGUCAGUACGGUUCAGGAACACUCUUCACUCCGCUGGUAACCCAUAGUGGCUUAUCCACUACUUCUCCGUACGGCAGUCUACCCAUAAAGACGGACGCUGUCCCUGUACUGUCCCUUCCUAGACUUUCUGCACUUCAUCAGUAUAAGGGAGAGUUUGUAGCGGAAUACAGGGUGAUGUGAGAUCUUGAUCAUCGAUUGUCAGAUGAGUGAAGGUUGGUGUUGCUUGGUCUACAGUUUUCUGCAGGAAUUUCCUUAGGCAUGGGAGGACACAACAAAUGAGAAGAGCGAGAAUAAAAAGAAAAAUUAGUAAGGCAAUACCAAUCUGGACUAAAGCUCUCUGCCAACCAGUCAUCCAACCAAACCAUUUUUCCCAGGGAUCAGUAACUCCAGAGUUUCUCUUUAACUCUUC
This is a non-coding RNA of Pelobates cultripes (western spadefoot toad), 502 nucleotides long. The record is from the annotation of a GenBank genome assembly. Lineage: Eukaryota; Metazoa; Chordata; Amphibia; Anura; Pelobatidae.